CUGAAGACUUCAAAUAUGCCAGAGAGUAAGUUUCUAGUUCAAAACUCUUGUGACAAACAGGCUGCUGUAAUGCAUGGUACUACCUCAGACGGGAAUAAUUCAGCAAAUACAGAAAGGGCUGUAGGGAAAGAUCUAAGGUUUGUAUUGGUUUACCAGCUUGAGUCAGCCACGGCGUACUAUCACAAAAAAGGCAAACCUCAUCUUAAAGAGAUAAACAGGACUGUCAUCAGCAAGGGACAUCAAAUGAUCCUUCCCCUUUAAUCAGCAAGAACAAGGUUUCUGGUGGAGACGUAUCCAGCUUUAGCCAGCAUAUUUCAAGAAUGAUGUGGAAAAUCUAGGGUGUUGAAGUAGACUAGCAGGAAAAACUGAAAUAUGACCCAGAGGAAAGAUUUAAACAGUUGGAAUUGUUUACUCUAAAGAGGAGAAGGCUGAUGGGAACCAUGAGAGCAGUAUACACAUAAGCUGUGUCAGAAAAUGAAGACAGUAACCUGAUCUGAUUGUUCACAGGGGAAAAACUAGACUGAAAGGGCUUAAAAUACAGCAAAAAUGCACAUCAGAGAUUAGGAGAGAGUAGUGACGUUCUGGAAACAGUCUGCUUGAAGAAGAUGAGAAAUUCCCAUGCUGGAGGCAUAUAAAGCCAGUUAAAAACAUUUCUCUGUGAAGAAUCUUGUAAUCUACCCUUUAUUGAUAACAGUAAAUUGACUACAUGACCUUUCAAGGUCCCUUCCAGACAUAAUUUUCAGGGAUGAUGUGCUGAGAUGAUUGUGUUGUGAUUUCUUACCUACUCCUGACACUCAGGUGGUGAAAUGGAUCCUUGCAGAAAGUGGCUGUACAAGUUCUUCUGGAAACUGGAAUAGAAAAGCGAAACCCUCCCCAGGGCCAGGGAAAUACCAGAGCUAUUGAAUUAAGGGAAUUAUGCAGGAAAUAUUCUGUUGAAUAAAGCAAGAGGAAUGUAAGCUGAUGGACUGUCUAACUUAUGAGGCAGCAAGAGAAUCAGGUGUUUCAGCAACAAUGCAUUGAAAACCCAACCUAUACGGUACAGAAAACUCUAAAAGGUAUGUACAUACAAAUUAUCACCUCCCACCCAUUCUCACAAGCCUAUGCUUGGCCUCUUCUACCCCAGGACUCCUCCUAGGGUGCCAUCUGCCAUCUUGUUUUCACUGUAGAGACAAGAGAAGACAUCAGCUUGUCUAUUGCCCAUAUUUAUGGAGAAGAAAAAAACAACAACAACAACAAAAAACAACCUUACAGCUCACUCACUCUUUUUGUCCCAAACCAACUUAUUAAGACCUCCCCUACUCCUCAUCCAGCUCAUGACCUUCUGAAAACGACAACAAAAACAGCCCAGGAAGUGUGCUGAGUACAUUUACCAGCGAGUGCUAGCCCAGACUCAGAAAGCAGCUGUCACUGUGAAGAAGAGGCCUAGAACAAGGACACUGAACACAUGCAAGCACUAGGGGCAAUGCAGCCUUCCCCUAGAAGUUGAAAAGUAAUAAGCCUGGGACUAAGAAAAAAAGCACUGAAUUCCCUUUGUCAUGUCAGUCAUCUACAUCUGUACAGACAGGGCUAAGAUUACUAGAGAGACUCUGCUCUGGACCACGCUCCCACCAUGCCAGGAAACAGAGUGCGGCUCCAAUCUCAAGGAUAGGACUUGUCUUUGACACUGAAGUACAGAACACUACAUCUGGCCACUGAUGUUCUUUUUAACACAGAAGCAAGAACAAUACACAUUUCUCUUCAAGGAAGAGAUGAUCAGAUUGCUAGACAAGAUGGAAGAAAUGGCAAAAAGUUACGUGUCUAAGCAAGGAUUACAGCUAAAUGGCUGACUGACAGACAACGUGCACCAUGGGGUAUGAUUUCCAGAGCACUCGAUCACACCAGGAUGGCAAAUUGUACUUCAUCUGCAAACCAAAGGAGAACUGAUGUCAAGAAGAAGGGAAAGGACAAGUUCACAAAAGAACAUGAAAUUCGCUUGCCCAAGCACUAUAUUUGUGUUAAAUCUUUUUGUGUGGAUUGACUCCUUUCAAGAUGCGAUGAGUGCAGAACAUGGAAAGAUUUGUUUUGGUCACUUCCUUCAGUAGGUGUUACUUUCCCUGCUCUGCUAUAUACUCAUGAAGUGAAAUCAGU
Long non-coding RNA from Oxyura jamaicensis (ruddy duck), 2127 nucleotides. RefSeq lists it as uncharacterized. The transcript is spliced from 8 exons. Lineage: Eukaryota; Metazoa; Chordata; Aves; Anseriformes; Anatidae. The record is from RefSeq and is a predicted model, not a curated record.